AGAGUUUGAUCCUGGCUCAGAACGAACGUUGGCGGCGUGGAUUAGGCAUGCAAGUCGAACGAGAAAGCUUCCUUCGGGAAGUGAGUAGAGUGGCGAACGGGUGAGUAACGCGUGGGAAACCUGCCUUCGAGUGGGGGAUAACAUCCCUAACGGGGUGCUAACACCGCAUGAAUCGGGCUGUCGCAUGGCGGCCUGGGAAAUGUGGCCUCUCCUUUGGAAGCUGCAGCUCGAAGAUGGUCCCGCGUCCCAUUAGCUUGUUGGUGGGGUAACGGCCUACCAAGGCGACGAUGGGUAGCCGGCCUGAGAGGGUGUCCGGCCACACUGGGACUGAGAUACGGCCCAGACUCCUACGGGAGGCAGCAGUCGAGAAGCUUCGGCAAUGGGCGAAAGCCUGACCGAGCGACGCCGCGUGACUGAUGAAGGCCCUUGUGGUUGUAAAGGUCUGUCAGGAGGGAAUAACGCUCGGUGGUUAAUACCCACCGGGUCUGAAGGUACCUCCAAAGGAAGCUCCGGCUAACUCCGUGCCAGCAGCCGCGGUAAUACGGAGGGAGCGAACGUUGUUCGGAUUUACUGGGUGUAAAGGGUGCGUAGGCGGCUUCGUGUGUCAGGGGUGAAAUCCGACGGCUCAACCGUCGAAUUGCCCCUGAAACUGCGAGACUUGAGUCCGUGAGAGGAAGACGGAAUUCCUGGUGUAACGGUGAAAUGUGCAGAUAUCAGGAAGAACACCGAUGGCGAAGGCAGUCUUCUGGCACGGUACUGACGCUGAGGCACGAAAGCUAGGGUAUCGAACGGGAUUAGAUACCCCGGUAGUCCUAGCCGUAAACGAUGUCCACUGGGUGUUGGAGGUCCUACCCCUUCAGUGCCGGCGCUAACGCAUUAAGUGGACCACCUGGGGAGUACGAUCGCAAGGUUGAAACUCAAAGGAAUUGACGGGGGCCCGCACAAGCGGUGGAGCAUGUGGUUUAAUUCGAAGCAACGCGAAGAACCUUACCGGGGUUUGACAUCCAGAGGUCCGGCGUAGAGAUACGCCUUCUCAUUGAGCUUCUGGACAGGUGCUGCAUGGCUGUCGUCAGCUCGUGUCGUGAAAUGUUGGGUUAAGUCCCGCAACGAGCGCAACCCUUGUCCUUAGUUGCCAGCACGUAAUGGUGGGAACUCUAGGGAGACUGCCGGUGACAAACCGGAGGAAGGUGGGGAUGACGUCAAGUCAUCAUGGCCCUUACGUCCCGGGCUACACACGUGCUACAAUGGCGUGUACAGUGGGCUGCGAACCCGCGAGGGGGAGCCAAUCCCAAAAAGCACGUCUCAGUUCGGAUUGCAGUCUGCAACUCGACUGCAUGAAGUCGGAAUCGCUAGUAAUCGCGGAUCAGCAUGCCGCGGUGAAUCCGUUCCCGGGCCUUGUACACACCGCCCGUCAAGUCAACCGAAUUGGUUGCACCCGAAGUCGUCGAGCUAACCCGUAAGGGGGGCAGGUGCCGAAGGUGUGGCUAGUGAGGGGGACUAAGUCGGAACAAGGUA
This 1515-nucleotide ribosomal RNA is filed under the name metagenome. RNAcentral describes it as "bacterial SSU rRNA". It matches the Rfam family "Bacterial small subunit ribosomal RNA". The record is from RNAcentral.